UAGUGUUUAGUACAUACAUGUACUAAGUGUUGUAAUUUUUAGCACUCAUAAGAUCCUUGGCAUCUCCACCAUCUCUCGGACAGAGCACUCGGUAGCUCAGACCAGAGAAUUGCAGUGUACCAAGGUUGUUCUUCCCCAAGUCAUUGCUAGAGGUCUGAAUGUUACUGAGGUUGGGCAUGACAUGCAAGCUCAGGUUGCUAAGUACGUGACACACACCCUCAAUCUCAUCAACUCCUAUGACACAUGGCACGGUACUAAGAACGUAGCCCGGGAGCUCAAGAAGGUCACAGAGGGUCGGGUCAGAGAUCGGAACAUAACGUGGUUCCCCUGAACUCUCUGAUAAAAACUCUCUGAUAAACGGCGCAGUGUAACUGGGCCAUGAAGAACUGUGGUGAGGACCCUAACGUUCUACAGCAGAUGGCUCUCAACAUCCCCAACCACUACAAGGGUGAUCAUUCUAACUGCCAUGCCUCGUCUCCCUGUCGUAUGGCUCAGAUUACCAACAAGAAGGCAGAAGAGGAGCUCCUUAGGUGCAUCAAGGCUACCUACGUCUUCAAGAAUGCGGAUGCUUUCUGUCGGUGUCGGGACACGUUCUGGGUAGAGUCAUUCAACCACCAGCUGCUGAUGUACUUGUCCAAACGUAUCCACUAUUCUGACAAGACUUUUCUCAUGAGAAUGAACCUGGCCGUACUUGACUGGAACGAGAAUGUGAAUCGUGCCCACACCAGUAAGAGAAAGGUUAAAGACCUUCGCCGUCCUGACAGGCGUACUGACAUGAAAGCUCUCGUGAGUAAGUCUUAUCAUUUUGCUGGUAUGCUUUGGACAGAGUAUGUCGCAAGGAACGGCGUCGAUUUGAGUGAGUUUGAGGAUAUUGAGCCAGAUGGUGACAACGAUGAAGACUGGCAUGUUACCCCCCCUUCUGCCUAGUGAUGAUAUGGAGUCAGAUUCAGAUAGCGACGACAGAGAAUAGUCCCUGUAGGUCCCAUCGACACUAGGGUAUCGCCUUCUUAUUUCCUGUGUAAUGAUAACUGUACUCCUCAUCUCCCCACAGACCCACGUCCUGGAGCAACCUCCAAAACUUCCGAUACAACCGGUGCCUCUUUUCAUCAUUUGCUGGAUGAGGUCCACAGGCACCGGUUAGGAAGUCUGGAGGAAGAGCAAUCACACACGGCCCACAGAGGCAGUGUGGACAGCAGUCCUGCAGUCCCUGUAAGACAGGGACGAGGGCAGAGUCUCUGUAACCCCGUGGAUGACUUGGAGAGAGAGCUGCGGACAAAUAAGUUUUAAUAAAAUAUCAUUGAUUAUCAUGUUUAUUAACCUCGAUUAUCCGGCCCUCGAUUAUCCGGAACCUCGAUUAUCCGGCUUGGCAGUUUUCUUUUUAAUCAGAUUACAUAAUUCAGAAAAUGGGCGUGUCCCUCAAAUGCGCAUGCGCGUUGCAGCUGUUACCAUGGAGACAUGCCUGCUUUUCUUUUGCGCAUGCGCAGACAACAUGUGGCACUGCUGUUCAUCAAUAAAGUGGGUGGAUCAAGGCGUGGUUUAUCUAUUCGAUUAUCCGGCAUAUUCACUUAUCCGGCCUGCUUCUGGAACCAA
Molecule: RNA transcript, 1590 nt
Organism: Halichondria panicea
Lineage: Eukaryota; Metazoa; Porifera; Demospongiae; Suberitida; Halichondriidae
Exons: 10
Source: RefSeq, a predicted model, not a curated record